This 20-nucleotide non-coding RNA is filed under the name Mus musculus (house mouse). The record is from RNAcentral. Lineage: Eukaryota; Metazoa; Chordata; Mammalia; Rodentia; Muridae.
GAGGUAUUGCUGGAUCCUCC